RNAcentral lists this long non-coding RNA (211 nucleotides) under Physcomitrium patens. Its description in RNAcentral is "long non-coding RNA (PPAT_LNC003796)". The record is from RNAcentral. Lineage: Eukaryota; Viridiplantae; Streptophyta; Bryopsida; Funariales; Funariaceae.
AGCUGAAAAUAAAGGGAGGGAAACAGAAUGGUUGGGAUGGAGAAGGCUUGGAACAGAGAGAGUGGGGAUUAGGAACAAGGAGAGUGGGAAUGAGGGUCAUAAUUAUAAUGAUGGUUUCUAGAGAUGAUUUAUUUUUGUAAUGAUGGUUACAAUAGGUUGAAUCAAUUUAGUAAAUGGGUGGAUAAUUUUAGUAUUUAUAUAUAUAUAUAUA